This 395-nucleotide ribosomal RNA is filed under the name uncultured bacterium. Its description in RNAcentral is "partial 16S ribosomal RNA". It matches the Rfam family "Bacterial small subunit ribosomal RNA", at positions 523 to 918 of the family's 1533-position model. The record is from RNAcentral.
AUACGUAGGGUGCAAGCGUUAAUCGGAAUUACUGGGCGUAAAGCGUGCGCAGGCGGUUUUGUAAGACAGAGGUGAAAUCCCCGGGCUCAACCUGGGAACUGCCUUUGUGACUGCAAGGCUAGAGUACGGCAGAGGGGGGUGGAAUUUCGCGUGUAGGAGUGAAAAGCGUAGAUAUGCGGAGGAACACCGAUGGCGAAGGCAAUCCCCUGGGCCUGUACUGACGCUCAUGCACGAAAGCGUGGGGAGCAAACAGGAUUAGAUACCCUGGUAGUCCACGCCCUAAACGAUGUCAACUGGUUGUUGGGUCUUCAUUGACUCAGUAACGAAGCUAACGCGUGAAGUUGACCGCCUGGGGAGUACGGCCGCAAGGUUGAAACUCAAAUGAAUCGACGGGG